UUUCACUGCCUCGGCCAGUUGCUUCUCAUUCUGAAUGCUCUGAACCCACUUUGCAUUAAUGUUGACACGCUCAAUGCUCUGCUUCAAGGUUCUAACAAUUGAAGGCUUGGUGCGGGUUGCAAAGAAAUCCUCUACUUCCUUGGCCUUCUCAAAUGAAGCAAACGGUGAGACAACUGCACUGAUGAAGCGAGUUAUUAAAAAUCCAGAACCCCAAGUUUUUGAAAUGUGAUCCCACUUAUCCUUCA
This 245-nucleotide unclassified non-coding RNA is filed under the name Hevea brasiliensis (rubber tree). The record is from RNAcentral. Lineage: Eukaryota; Viridiplantae; Streptophyta; Magnoliopsida; Malpighiales; Euphorbiaceae.